RNAcentral lists this unclassified non-coding RNA (322 nucleotides) under soil metagenome. RNAcentral describes it as "partial contains 5.8S ribosomal RNA, internal transcribed spacer 2, and large subunit ribosomal RNA". The stretch from base 1 to 120 matches the Rfam family "5.8S ribosomal RNA", at positions 35 to 154 of the family's 154-position model. The record is from RNAcentral.
GAUGAAGAACGUAGCGAAAUGCGAUAAGUAAUGUGAAUUGCAGAAUUCAGUGAAUCAUCGAAUCUUUGAACGCACAUUGCACCCUUUGGCAUUCCGAAGGGCACACCUGUCCGAGCGCCGUCGCACAACUGAGGCGCAGCCUUGCGUUGGCGGGCGACUUGUGAGUAGCGAGUCGCCGCCCAAACGAGACGGCGCCGCGCCGCGGCCGACGAAGCACGAAAGCGGAAGUCGACGCGGAGGCGGUUGCCUGUAGGAAGACACAGCUUGGCCUCGGAUCAGGUGGGGAUACCCGCUGAACUUAAGCAUAUCAAUAAGCGGAGGA